GUCCUGUCCAGGUGAGGUUAGUGAUGAUGAUGGUAUGUUGUCCUGUCCAGGUGAGGUUAGUGAUGAUGAUGGUAUGUUGUCCAGGUGAGGUUAGUGAUGAUGGUAUGUUGUCCUGUCCAGGUGAGGUUAGUGAUGAUGAUGAUGAUGAUGAUAUGUUGUCCUGUCCAGGUGAGGUUAGUGAUGAUGAUGGUAUGUUGUCCAGGUGAGGUUAGUGAUGAUGAUGGUAUGUUGUCCUGUCCAGGUGAGGUUAGUGAUGAUGAUGGUAUGUUGUCCAGGUGAGGUUAGUGAUGAUGGUAUGUUGUCCUGUCCAGGUGAGGUUAGUGAUGAUGAUGAUGAUGAUGAUGGUAUGUUGUCCUGUCCAGGUGAGGUUAGUGAGGUUAGUGAUGAUGGUAUGUUGUCCUGUCCAGGUGAGGUUAGUGAUGAUGAUGGUAUGUUGUCCUG
RNAcentral lists this long non-coding RNA (441 nucleotides) under Salmo salar (Atlantic salmon). RNAcentral's name for it is "lncRNA (ENSSSAG00000084539.1)". Lineage: Eukaryota; Metazoa; Chordata; Actinopteri; Salmoniformes; Salmonidae. The record is from RNAcentral.